AAGAUUGCAAUGAAUGGGAAUAGUAAACCGUACAUAAGUCCAUAGAGAGCUGUCAGUUGGUGAAAGACAGCGUCUUUGAAGGUUGAAGCUCGCCCUGGAGCAUUUUUAGCUGAAAGAAGUAGGCUGAAACGGCUAUCACCGUUAUAUGAUAUAAAGAGAAUUUCUUAUAAAGGAAUUAAAUUGAGUGGUACCGCGGAAAGAUAACUUUUCGUCUCAUGA
This 219-nucleotide non-coding RNA is filed under the name Ruminiclostridium cellulolyticum. RNAcentral describes it as "Clostridium cellulolyticum T-box sequence". It matches the Rfam family "T-box leader". From Rfam's summary of the family: Uncharged tRNA acts as the effector for transcription antitermination of genes in the T-box leader family. T-boxes are found upstream of many aminoacyl-tRNA synthetase genes and some amino acid biosynthetic genes usually in Gram-positive bacteria. The record is from RNAcentral. Lineage: Bacteria; Bacillati; Bacillota; Clostridia; Eubacteriales; Oscillospiraceae.